RNAcentral lists this ribosomal RNA (851 nucleotides) under uncultured bacterium. RNAcentral's name for it is "SSU rRNA". It matches the Rfam family "Bacterial small subunit ribosomal RNA", at positions 524 to 1380 of the family's 1533-position model. The record is from RNAcentral.
UACGGAGGGUCCGAGCGUUAUCCGGAAUCAUUGGGUUUAAAGGGUCCGUAGGCGGAUCAGUAAGUCAGGGGUGAAAGUUUGCGGCUCAACCGUAAAAUUGCCUUUGAUACUGCUGGUCUUGAGUUACGAUGAAGUGGCCGGAAUAUGUGGUGUAGCGGUGAAAUGCAUAGAUAUCACAUAGAACACCGAUUGCGAAGGCAGGUCACUAAUCGUGGACUGACGCUGAUGGACGAAAGCGUGGGGAGCAAACGGGAUUAGAUACCCCGGUAGUCCACGCCGUAAACGAUGGACACUAGCUGUCGGGCUUUAAAGUUCGGCGGCCAAGCGAAAGUGAUAAGUGUCCCACCUGGGGAGUACGUUCGCAAGAAUGAAACUCAAAGGAAUUGACGGGGGCCCGCACAAGCGGUGGAGCAUGUGGUUUAAUUCGAUGAUACGCGAGGAACCUUACCAGGGCUUGAAUGUAGUGGGACAGGCUUAGAGAUAGGCUUUUCUUCGGACUCAUUACAAGGUGCUGCAUGGUUGUCGUCAGCUCGUGCCGUGAGGUGUCAGGUUAAGUCCUAUAACGAGCGCAACCCUUACCGUUAGUUGCCAGCGAGUAGAGUCGGGGACUCUAACGGGACUGCCGGUGCAAACCGUGAGGAAGGUGGGGAUGACGUCAAAUCAUCACGGCCCUUACGUCCUGGGCUACACACGUGCUACAAUGGCCGGUACAAUGAGCAGCCACUUCGCAAGAAGGCGCGAAUCUAUAAAACCGGUCACAGUUCGGAUCGGGGUCUGCAACCCGACCCCGUGAAGCUGGAAUCGCUAGUAAUCGGAUAUCAGCCAUGAUCCGGUGAAUACGUUCCCGGGCA